Molecule: ribosomal RNA, 443 nt
Filed under: uncultured bacterium
Lineage: Bacteria
Description: partial 16S ribosomal RNA
Rfam family: Bacterial small subunit ribosomal RNA
Source: RNAcentral
CCUACGGGUGGCAGCAGUGGGGAAUAUUGGGCAAUGGAGGCAACUCUGACCCAGCAACGCCGCGUGAAUGAUGAAGGUCUUCCGAUUGUAAAGUUCUUUUCUCAGGGAAGAAGAAAGUGACGGGCCCUUAGGCAUAAGCCUCGGCUAACUACGUGCCAGCAGCCGCGGUAAUCCGGAGGAGGCAAGCGUUAUCCGGAAUGACUGGGCGUAAAGGGUGCGUAGGUGGUUUGACAAGUUAGUAGCGAAACUCCGGAGCUCAACUUCGGAACUACUACUAAAACUGUGGGACUUGAGUGCGGGAGAGGCAAGCGGAAUGCCUAGUGUAGCGGUGGAAUGCGUAGAUAUUAGGAGGAACACCAGUGGCGAAGGCGGAGUACUAGACUGUAACUGACACUGAGGCACGAAAGCGUGGGGAGCAAACAGGAUUAGAUACCCCUGUAGUC